This 253-nucleotide ribosomal RNA is filed under the name uncultured bacterium. Its description in RNAcentral is "partial 16S ribosomal RNA". It matches the Rfam family "Bacterial small subunit ribosomal RNA", at positions 524 to 776 of the family's 1533-position model. The record is from RNAcentral.
UACGUAGGGUGCAAGCGUUGUCCGGAAUUAUUGGGCGUAAAGAGCUCGUAGGCGGUCUGUCGCGUCGGCUGUGAAAACCUGGGGCUCAACUCCGGGCCUGCAGCCGAUACGGGCAGACUAGAAUUCGGUAGGGGAGACUGGAAUUCCUGGUGUAGCGGUGAAAUGCGCAGAUAUCAGGAGGAACACCAGUGGCGAAGGCGGUUCUCUGGGCAUUACCUGACGCUGAGGAGCGAAAGUGUGGGGAGCGAACAGG